UUAAUUGUGUGUCGUCUGCAUAGCAAUGAUAGGAGAGACCAUGUGAGGUUAUGACAGAGCCAAGUGACUUGGUGUAUAGCGAGAAUAAGAGAGGGCCUAGAACAGAGCCCUGGGGGACACCAGUGGUGAGAGCGCGUGGUGAGGAGACAGAUUCUCGCCACGCCACCUGGUAGGAGCGACCUGUCAGGUAGGACGCAAUCCAAGCGUGGGCUGCGCCGGAGAUGCCCAACUCGGAGAGGGUGGAGAGGAGGAUCUGAUGGUUCACAGUAUCGAAGGCAGCCGAUAGGUCUAGAAGGAUGAGAGCAGAGGAGAGAGAGUUAGCUUUAGCAGUGCGGAGCGCCUCCGUGAUACAGAGAAGAGCAGUCUCAGUUGAGUGACUAGUCUUGAAACCUGACUGAUUUGGAUCAAGAAGGUCAUUCUGAGAGAGAUAGCGGUAGAGCUGGCCAAGGACGGCACGCUCAAGAGUUUUGGAGAGAAAAGAGAGAAGGGAUACUGGUCUGUAG
This is a long non-coding RNA of Oncorhynchus keta (chum salmon), 503 nucleotides long. RefSeq lists it as uncharacterized. NCBI's taxonomy places the organism in Eukaryota, Metazoa, Chordata, Actinopteri, Salmoniformes, Salmonidae. The record is from RefSeq and is a predicted model, not a curated record. The transcript is spliced from 3 exons.